Molecule: ribosomal RNA, 393 nt
Filed under: uncultured bacterium
Lineage: Bacteria
Description: partial 16S ribosomal RNA
Rfam family: Bacterial small subunit ribosomal RNA
Source: RNAcentral
AUACGGAGGAUCCGAGCGUUAUCCGGAUUUAUUGGGUUUAAAGGGAGCGUAGGCGGGAGAUCAAGUCAGCUGUGAAAUGUAGAUGCUCAACAUCUGCACUGCAGUUGAAACUGGUUUUCUUGAGUGCGUAAGGGGCAGGCGGAAUUCGUCGUGUAGCGGUGAAAUGCUCAGAUAUGACGAAGAACUCCGAUCGCGAAGGCAGCCUGCCGGGCCGCGACUGACGCUGAAGCUCGAAGGUGCGGGUAUCGAACAGGAUUAGAUACCCUGGUAGUCCGCACAGUAAACGAUGGAUACUCGCUGUCGGCGAUAUACGGUCGGUGGCCAAGCGAAGGCGUUAAGUAUCCCACCUGGGGAGUACGCCGGCAACGGUGAAACUCAAAGGAAUUGACGGGG